AGAGUUUGAUCCUGGCUCAGGAUGAACGCUGGCGGUAUGCUUAACACAUGCAAGUCGAACGGAGUGCUUCGGCACUUAGUGGCGGACGGGUGAGUAACGCGUGAGAAUCUGCCUAUAGGUUCGGGACAACAGCUGGAAACGGCUGCUAAUACCGGAUGUGCCGAGAGGUGAAAGAUUUAUUGCCUAUAGAUGAGCUCGCGUCCGAUUAGCUAGUUGGUGAGGUAAGGGCUCACCAAGGCAUUGAUCGGUAGCUGGUCUGAGAGGAUGAUCAGCCACACUGGGACUGAGACACGGCCCAGACUCCUACGGGAGGCAGCAGUGGGGAAUUUUCCGCAAUGGGCGAAAGCCUGACGGAGCAAUACCGCGUGAGGGAGGAAGGCUUUUGGGUCGUAAACCUCUUUUGUCAGGGAAGAAGAUCUGACGGUACCUGACGAAUCAGCAUCGGCUAACUCCGUGCCAGCAGCCGCGGUAAUACGGAGGAUGCAAGCGUUAUCCGGAAUUAUUGGGCGUAAAGCGUCCGCAGGUGGUUGUUCAAGUCUGCUGUUAAAGCGUGCGGCUUAACCGCAUAAGGGCAGUGGAAACUGGGCGACUAGAGUUUGGUAGGGGUCACGGGAAUUCCCAGUGUAGCGGUGAAAUGCGUAGAUAUUGGGAAGAACACCAGCGGCGAAAGCGCGUGACUGGGCCUGAACUGACACUCAUGGACGAAAGCUAGGGGAGCGAAAGGGAUUAGAUACCCCUGUAGUCCUAGCUGUAAACGAUGACAACUAGGUGUUGCCCGUAUCGACCCGAGCCGUGCCGAAGCAAGGGCGAAUU
Molecule: ribosomal RNA, 813 nt
Filed under: uncultured cyanobacterium
Lineage: Bacteria; Bacillati; Cyanobacteriota
Description: bacterial SSU rRNA
Rfam family: Bacterial small subunit ribosomal RNA
Source: RNAcentral